Molecule: ribosomal RNA, 497 nt
Filed under: uncultured bacterium
Lineage: Bacteria
Description: partial 16S ribosomal RNA
Rfam family: Bacterial small subunit ribosomal RNA
Source: RNAcentral
GAUGAACGCUGGCGGCGUGCCUAAUACAUGUAAGUCGAGCGAACAGACGAGGAGCUUGCUCCUCUGAUGUUAGCGGCGGACGGGUGAGUAACACGUGGAUAACCUACCUAUAAGACUGGGAUAACUUCGGGAAACCGGAGCUAAUACCGGAUAACAUGUUGAACCGCAUGGUUCAACAGUGAAAGACGGUCUUGCUGUCACUUAUAGAUGGAUCCGCGCCGCAUUAGCUAGUUGGUAAGGUAACGGCUUACCAAGGCAACGAUGCGUAGCCGACCUGAGAGGGUGAUCGGCCACACUGGAACUGAGACACGGUCCAGACUCCUACGGGAGGCAGCAGUAGGGAAUCUUCCGCAAUGGGCGAAAGCCUGACGGAGCAACGCCGCGUGAGUGAAGAAGGUCUUCGGAUCGUAAAACUCUGUUAUUAGGGAAGAACAAAUGUGUAAGUAACUAUGCACGUCUUGACGGUACCUAAUCAGAAAGCCACGGCUAACUACGUG